GCGCGCAUUGUGCGCAUUCAAGUUUUGGUUUUUUCACUUCCUUAGAAGCUGAAAUUGCGGACAUUGCGGGGUUGGGCUUGAUGACAUAUGUUGCCCAGCUGCCGCGACGCAUUUGGAGCAAAGCUUCUGCUUAUUUCUUCUGGCUGCACCUUAUAUUUGUUGUCUUUGCCAACAUCUGACCUGUUUCUGCCUUGUUGAAAGCAAGUGGCCACAAGUACUGCUUAGUUUGCUCAGUCUAAACCUGGAUGUAUAUCUAUUUGCUAAGGGCAUGCUUCUGCUCCUUUAAAGCUUGCUUUAACUAAUAGUGGUUUGAGUCAUGUAUGACACCAGAUAAUUAUUUUCUAAAGAGGUGGCAAAGCUUGUCCACAGAUUUAAAGUAUGGAGAUGCUGAACAUUAAAAUGUUCCAAGUUGCCACAAAGUAUUACAUGCAUUUAAAUUUGCAGUCGCAAAAGACAUACUAAAAGUGUAAUCCACAAAAUUUGCUUCCAGGUGUCUUGAGACAAUAAAUUGUAGAGAAAGAAUUCUAUUGUGAGUUGCCAAUGGUUGUCGUGAGCUCUAGCCCAUUUUUCUAUACAGCCACUGUUGCUUCGUUGUCUGUUGCCAUCACGUGCUUGUUACUAACAAGAAAUUGAGCCGCCUGGUUCCCCUGAUUUUUGUCGCUCAUAAAAUGCAAAUGUCUCCACAUUGGCAGCCUCAAGGUAGAACAACGAGUGUCAUCGGCCAGUUGCCUGCUUGUAAGAUAAUGUUGCGUGUAAUGUCAGGGGUUUAAAGGAUACUUCACAUCUGCCAUCAUGGCUGCUGCCUAGCACUUCCAGGACGAAGUUUGGUCCACAUGUGCAACUAUCCAAGAAAAUGGACAUUGGGACAACUGCUCACUUGGUAGAGCAUCGCAAGCGCAAAGCAGAAAAUGUGGGUUAAGCUCCAACCGGCAGCAAGUUGUCUCUUAAUGCAAAGCAUUAUCAUGAUCUAUUUUUGAAUUUCUUAGUACACCUGCCCAGGUAGCUUCAUUAAUAAUUAGUAAUGCUCCUGAUGGUGGGUAUUGAACACGAGUCUCUAGUGCAGCAGCCCAAUUCUUCGCCCAUUAGGCUACAGAUGCAUGCAUAGCUCGCCAGAUUAACCGCACGGGUUCUCUCUUAGCAGCUAAUGCUGUCAGAUGUUAUGUGACACUCGCAGAGUUUGGGAUUCACCCAUUUCAGCUCAGAUGCAACAUAUAAGGCAGGUGUUGUGUUUGCUUUGGUGACGCGUUGUGCGUGCAAUUGUUUUUGGUUUCUCUAUGUUGGCGUAUUGUGCUUUGUAUUCGAUAUGGUGCUGCGCAUUACCUCAAUCACAGCUUCGAUGCUGUGCCCAAAAAAAACAUUUGUAGGCAGGUGCUCAAGUGACGUGAAGCUCCCUCAUUCUCUCUUGCAGGUAGUGCAUCCAGUUUAGCGCCAUGCACAUGUGUGGGGCAUUUACUUGUUCUUAUUCUGCUGAUGUGUCGUGUUGUACAUAGGAGGAAAGCCGGUCUUCCACAAAUAUGGUUGUCAGCGUUACUGAAUACAACACCGUCUUGCUGCCUUGACACGCCACAUCAUUUGACAUCUGCCUGAGCUGGCAUCUUGCUGUUCCUUGUGGUCAGGCAUAGCCAAGACUGGAGGUAGAGUCCGCACACAAAGUUCAAGGCUGAACAAUAGAACCAGCACGCCCAAUAAAUGUGUAUGCAAAUUUAGCUCUAAGCUUGAUUUAUGUCAGGAAUAAUGAUUCACAAAAGGGGCUUCACAAAAGUGAGCACGAACACCAACAACCGUCUUCUUUCACAUCCUUUGUUGGUGCCUGCCUUUGUUGCUACAUAGUAAUUAAUUAGUAAUUAGUUUGCUAAGCUAUCCACAACUGAGAACUCGAUCAAGCAUAGAAAAAAACAUGACUAUAGGCUCCUGUGUUUCUUAUGUUUAAAUCACAAUUUGUAGGUAUCAAACACAGCAUAGCAUAAAUGAUACAUUGAGUGCCUUUUCGAGUCUUCUUCAGAGGGUGCUCGAGAUUUCUGGUUGGGUUGCCAUAGAUGUGUUAGCUCAGUGAAUCUUCCUUCCAAGGCAUUCAGUUUGUUAAAGUUAAGCGGCUAUAGAUGUGUCCUCAUUGUUCAGGUUACUUCUGGCGACACCUGAACGUUCUUGUGGCUAUGGUGUGAUGCUUCAUGACACACAUGGUGCUCAAUUCUGAAUUAUUGUUGGCAUGCUUUUUCACAAAUGGUUUUAGUAAGAUAAUUGCACAGGCGACGCAAAAUGAGCCACAGCAUAUGCUUCACCUCCAGCAUGUUCGUGAUCACCGAUGGCAUGUAAAACUGUGAUUCAGACCAAGCAUCGCAAAGAAUGAUUGUUGCCUUUCUUUCUUACAGGCUGCUGUGUUUCAGCUAUAUCUGCUUUUCCUGUGUCCAGUGGCCUUGUCGCUCAAUUAGUGCUUGCCAAUUUCCAUUACCCUGCAACCCACUAAAAAUAUGAAAUU
Molecule: RNA transcript, 2476 nt
Organism: Dermacentor silvarum
Lineage: Eukaryota; Metazoa; Arthropoda; Arachnida; Ixodida; Ixodidae
Exons: 2
Source: RefSeq, a predicted model, not a curated record